Molecule: ribosomal RNA, 466 nt
Filed under: uncultured bacterium
Lineage: Bacteria
Description: partial 16S ribosomal RNA
Rfam family: Bacterial small subunit ribosomal RNA
Source: RNAcentral
ACGAACGCUGGCGGCGUGCUUAACACAUGCAAGUCGAACGGAAAGGCUCCAGCUUGCUGGGGUACUCGAGUGGCGAACGGGUGAGUAACACGUGGGUAAUCUGCCCUGCACUCUGGGAUAAGCCUGGGAAACUGGGUCUAAUACUGGAUAUGACCUUUCUCCUUAUGGGGUUUGGUGGAAAGUUUUUCGGUGUAGGAUGAGCCCGCGGCCUAUCAGCUUGUUGGUGGGGUGAUGGCCUACCAAGGCGACGACGGGUAGCCGGCCUGAGAGGGUGAUCGGCCACAUUGGGACUGAGAUACGGCCCAGACUCCUACGGGAGGCAGCAGUGGGGAAUAUUGCACAAUGGGCGGAAGCCUGAUGCAGCGACGCCGCGUGAGGGAUGACGGCCUUCGGGUUGUAAACCUCUUUCAGCAGGGACGAAGCGUAAGUGACGGUACCUGCAGAAGAAGCACCGGCUAACUAUGUG